Molecule: long non-coding RNA, 640 nt
Filed under: Rattus norvegicus (Norway rat)
Lineage: Eukaryota; Metazoa; Chordata; Mammalia; Rodentia; Muridae
Description: long non-coding RNA NONRATT009491
Source: RNAcentral
UAUCCGACAGUAGGAUAUCCUGAAUUAAGCUGUUGGAGUGGCUAAUGCAGGCUGGGUUCCCCUGAGGGACACAUCCUAUUUCAAGACCUCCCACCCCAAAGAGGAAGGAGUGAGGUGCCAGGCCUCCUUUCAGAGGGAGAAACCUGGAUUUGGGGUGCAGUGGUAUCCAGAACUUGGGGACGCUCCGGGGAAAACCAGCACUGUGACCCUUUGGCGGCAGUCGGCAGUCGCUAACCUCCCAAGUACACAAAAGGCAUGGCUGGUGGCAGUUGCUAAACUCCACCAAAGGCAUGGCUGGAUAUUGUUACCUGUCUCCAAGACCUGUCCUACCCUGGUAACAUAGCACCCAGAGCCCCAGAGUCAUGUCACUGGGCACACAACGGCAUGUCGGUGAAGCCUCUGCACUUGGACUCAACUAACAGACAUGAGUUUUUAAGAAAACUAGUCUUGGGGCCUAGAGAGAUGGCUCAGUGGUUAAGAGAACUGACUGCUCUUCCAGAGGUCCUGAGUUCAAUUCCUGGCAACCACUAUAAAUAAAGUAAAUAAAUCUUAAAGCAUCUGCAUCUUGCCUACGUGUAUGCUGUGCACCAAGUGUGUGCCUAGUACCCAUGGAGAAGGCAUUGGAACUCUGGGAUUGGAA